RNAcentral lists this ribosomal RNA (522 nucleotides) under uncultured Pseudomonas sp. Its description in RNAcentral is "bacterial SSU rRNA". It matches the Rfam family "Bacterial small subunit ribosomal RNA", at positions 97 to 613 of the family's 1533-position model. Lineage: Bacteria; Pseudomonadati; Pseudomonadota; Gammaproteobacteria; Pseudomonadales; Pseudomonadaceae. The record is from RNAcentral.
GGCGGACGGGUGAGUAAUGCCUAGGAAUCUGCCUAGUAGUGGGGGAUAACUUGCCGAAAGGUAAGCUAAUACCGCAUACGUCCUACGGGAGAAAGCAGGGGACUCUUCGGAGCCUUGCGCUAUUAGAUGAGCCUAGGUCGGAUUAGUUAGUUGGUGAGGUAAUGGCUCACCAAGACUGCGAUCCGUAACUGGUCUGAGAGGAUGAUCAGUCACACUGGAACUGAGACACGGUCCAGACUCCUACGGGAGGCAGCAGUGGGGAAUAUUGGACAAUGGGGGCAACCCUGAUCCAGCCAUGCCGCGUGUGUGAAGAAGGUCUUCGGAUUGUAAAGCACUUUAAGUUGGGAGGAAGGGCAGUUAACUAAUAUUUGACUGUUUUGACGUUACCGACAGAAUAAGCACCGGCUAACUUCGUGCCAGCAGCCGCGGUAAUACGAAGGGUGCAAGCGUUAAUCGGAAUUACUGGGCGUAAAGCGCGCGUAGGUGGUUCGUUAAGUUAGGAGUGAAAGCCCCGGGCUCAAC